CUAGAGAAAUGAACAGCGGAUUUCUGAUUUUUUGCGGGAUGUGGAUUUCGGCGAUAUCACCAAGGAGACAGAGUUUUGGAGAUGAUGGGAUUCUGUAGCUCAGGGUGGUGGACAGCGCCUCGGUGACCGUGAUCCAGAAUGAGCGAACUGGUCGACAGACCCACAUGGUGUGUAGAUAAUCGUCUGUGCUACCUAAGGUGCAUUGUGAACAGAUACCUGUGUUUGCUAGGCCCAUUUUGAACAUUUUGAAACAUGAUUGAAAAUGCAUCGAUAUAUAGUUGACCGGGAAAUAUGAUUGAAAAAGCCUUGAUAUAUAGUUGACCGGGAAAUAUGAUUGAAAAAGCCUUGAUAUAUAGUUGACCGGGAAAUAUGAUUGAAAAGCCAUUGAUUUUUGGUUGACCGGGAGAUCAUCGGGUGGUAGACCAACGUACUGCACCGGACACAUCUCAUUUCUGGACUCUUGGGGCGAAUACGAUCAGAGAGGAAAAUGCCAGGCGGAGAGGGAAGAAAAGGGAGAUCACCUGCCGGAGGGACUGAAGCAAGUAAAAAGAUGCUCUUACACAGCAGAUGGGGACAGCCGCCGUCAACCAAUUUACUUUUGCCCAGCCUGUGCAAAAGUUGCUGCGCUAUGCGUCAGACCGGGCAGGAUGGACUGGACGACAAACCAGUCAGACGUCAGAGGACCAUGAACUGUAACUAUGCUAAAGAGGACAAAUGAUGAAAUAAGAGGCUAAUAAAAUGAAUUUGUUUUUACCUUAAA
Molecule: long non-coding RNA, 760 nt
Organism: Perca flavescens (yellow perch)
Lineage: Eukaryota; Metazoa; Chordata; Actinopteri; Perciformes; Percidae
Exons: 3
Source: RefSeq, a predicted model, not a curated record